AUGCCAAUCCUUGAUAACAAGAACACACGAGCACAUGACUAAGAGGGAGAAGGGCCUUAAACAGAGAAAAGGAAGUAGUGCACUAGCAGGGAAAUAGAGAAGUUCGCCCUCCCCACCUACACGAGGGGGAUCGCUCUAUCCGUUCCGUCUCCUUAUUUACGAAUAAAGCCUGCUAACUAAUCUCAUUUACUAGCUAUUCUAUGAAGAGCAACAAGACGAUGUAACAGGUAGAUAAAUUGAUACAAGAAGAUAGUCCGAACCCCCUAAUGCAACCCAGUUACCAAAAGCGGGAGAAUCUUCGUUACAUGCCUAGCGUAGGAUAAUGAUGCG
Molecule: long non-coding RNA, 330 nt
Filed under: Olea europaea (common olive)
Lineage: Eukaryota; Viridiplantae; Streptophyta; Magnoliopsida; Lamiales; Oleaceae
Description: long non-coding RNA (OEUR_LNC014047)
Source: RNAcentral